Molecule: ribosomal RNA, 444 nt
Filed under: uncultured bacterium
Lineage: Bacteria
Description: SSU rRNA
Rfam family: Bacterial small subunit ribosomal RNA
Source: RNAcentral
AGAGCGAACGCUGGCGGCAGGCCUAAUACAUGCAAGUCGAGCGCACCUUCGGGUGAGCGGCGGACGGGUGAGUAACGCGUGGGAAUAUGCCCUUUGGUACGGAACAACCCAGGGAAACUUGGGCUAAUACCGUAUGUGCCCUACGGGGGAAAGAUUUAUCGCCAUUGGAGUAGCCCGCGUUGGAUUAGCUAGUUGGUAGGGUAAAGGCCUACCAAGGCUACGAUCCAUAGCUGGUCUGAGAGGAUGAUCAGCCACACUGGGACUGAGACACGGCCCAGACUCCUACGGGAGGCAGCAGUAGGGAAUCUUGCGCAAUGGGCGAAAGCCUGACGCAGCCAUGCCGCGUGAAUGAUGAAGGUCUUAGGAUUGUAAAAUUCUUUCACCGGGGAAGAUAAUGACGGUACCCGGAGAAGAAGCCCCGGCUAACUUCGCGCCAGCAGCCGC